CCAUUAUAUCACAUAAAUGACUAUUAGUAAUAAUCAGAAGUGCCAUUUUGCUUUUUUACUAUUAUUACAUGUAGCACAGAAGUCUCUGCGAUACAGUCAUGUAUUUAUGGCAGUGCAGAGAGAUUAAGAAUGAACAUGCUAUCAGGGUAAGUCAAUGUAAAUGAGAUUCAGGGGAAACAUCAUCAAAAAACACAUCUAUUUCCCCUCAACAAGCCACAUUUACAUUAAUAGUCAUGUCAAGGAUGAGGUUGAUGAGUGUUCUGCUGCUGCAUUGCUGGGCUGUUGUGGGUUUCCAGGGUGCUGAUAUGCAGCCACAAAUGGUUUCUGAGGGUGAUUGCAUACAGUACCAAAAAUCUCCCUUCUUUUGAACACUUGUUCAAAUAACUAGUGAAAGAAAGUAAAUAUAUAUAAAAUAAAAAAAAUAAAAAAUUAUUGAAAGUAAAGUGACGUUUGGCCAAGUAUGGUGACCCGUACUCGGAAUUUGUGCUCUGCAUUUAACCUAUCCAAGUGCACACACUCAGUAGUGUACAUACACACCCGGAGCAGAUGGGGGUUCAAUUCUUACUCAAGGGUUUUAGCUCAAUCAUGGGAUUGAAGGUGGAAGAGAGCGCUGUUUUUUCACUCCCCCCACCUACAAUCCCUGCAGGACCUGAGACUCGAACCCACAACCUUCAGAUUACAAAUCAGAUUCUCUAACAAUUAGGCCAUGAGUGACCCGAUAACUAACGCUAACUAUUAGCAGAAACAGUAGAAACAGUUUUUAUUUUGACUGUUGUUGCUACUAACCCCUGGUUCAGCAGAGGCCUUGUGCUUGUAAAGUCUUCUGUUUCUGACUCCACACAGCGGCCCACCAUGAGCUCAGCACGAGCCAAAGAGCAGUUGGAGAACACAUGCAGGUCCAGCAUGUCCACCCGGUCUGCAGCGCGUAGCUCUCGAGCCGCACGCACUGGCGGUGAACUGCGCAAAUCUGAUAGACGAGUCUUGCUGGCCAUAGGACCCUUUCCGGGAAGAUGGAACUCCAGCCAGAAGGACACGGCACCAAACGUCUUCACUUCUUCAGGAAUGGAGAUUUUAAAAGCCGGACCUUUAGCUUGUUGACCAGGAAUCCGGCAGGCAAGCGGCAGGAUGAGAGUGGGCACGCGGCUUAUAGUGGAGUUAGGAUUGAUGCUGCGUAAAGUGUUGGUGUACAGCAAUUCUGAUCCUAAAUGCUGGAUAAUAUCAAAGAACAGAUAACAAAUGAAAUUAAAAUGAAAAUAAAAGAAGCAGCAGCAUUCU
This is a long non-coding RNA of Cyprinus carpio carpio, 1275 nucleotides long. NCBI's taxonomy places the organism in Eukaryota, Metazoa, Chordata, Actinopteri, Cypriniformes, Cyprinidae. The record is from Ensembl.